This 497-nucleotide ribosomal RNA is filed under the name uncultured bacterium. Its description in RNAcentral is "partial 16S ribosomal RNA". It matches the Rfam family "Bacterial small subunit ribosomal RNA", at positions 28 to 507 of the family's 1533-position model. The record is from RNAcentral.
GAUGAACGCUGGCGGCGUGCCUAAUACAUGCAAGUCGAGCGAACAGACGAGGAGCUUGCUCCUCUGACGUUAGCGGCGGACGGGUGAGUAACACGUGGAUAACCUACCUAUAAGACUGGGGUAACUUCGGGAAACCGGAGCUAACACCGGAUAAGAUAGUGAACCGCAUGGUUCAAUAGUGAAAGACGGUUUUGCUGUCACUUAGAGAUGGAUCCGCGCCGGAUUAGCUAGUUGGUAAGGUAACGGCUUACCAAGGCAACGAUGCGUAGCCGACCUGAGAGGGUGAUCGGCCACACUGGAACUGAGACACGGUCCAGACUCCUACGGGAGGCAGCAGUAGGGAAUCUUGCGCAAUGGGCGAAAGCCUGACGCAGCCACGCCGCGUGAGUGAUGAAGGUCUUCGGAUCGUAAAACUCUGUUAUUAGGGAAGAACAACUGUGUAAGUAACUAUGCACGUCUUGACGGUACCUAAUCAGAAAGCCACGGCUAACUACGUG